RNAcentral lists this long non-coding RNA (3643 nucleotides) under Homo sapiens (human). Its description in RNAcentral is "HSALNT0052917". The record is from RNAcentral. Lineage: Eukaryota; Metazoa; Chordata; Mammalia; Primates; Hominidae.
CUCAAACUCCGUUUUUUGCCUUUUGGUGUGACCAGAUGCCUGGAGGGUGUGGAGAUGGGUAUUUCCCUUUCCUCAGGUAGAUUAGGCUCCGGUAAAACUUCAGAGGUGAGAUUCUGCCUGAAUAAUUUCUCCUAAGGACAGAUCUUGUUAACAAGAACGGAAUGCUCUGGUAUAUUUCAAGAUGGUUCUUCUCUCCUCCUACCCCAUGUCCCCUUUGACUAGAAGCAAGAUGGGUUUUUUAACUCUGAUAUUCACUGUGAGAUAAAGCUCCUGGAGGUGAAACUUACAAAAAAAGUGGGGUCACUGUGACUGGGUCCACCGGAAGAUUUUAACUCUCAAGAAUUGCCUACACUGAGCUUCAAGCAAUUUGUCAAUUACAGUUCAGGUUUUCCUACCCAGCACUGGUUCCGGAGGAGGUUGCAAGUUGUCUGAGUUUCUGCUCUAAUGUGGCAUCUUAUUUUCUUCAGCAUCCACCUGUCUAUCUUGAUUUGUCCAGGCUUUCCUAAUGCAUUAGUGCUUCAGUCCGUUCUCCAGGUUGAGAUAGCAAUCCCUCAUAUCACUUUGGAAUAAGUUGCUUUGUACGUUUCAUGAAGAAAGAAGCUCUGCUUGUCUCAUUUAUUGCUGCAUCUUCCUUGCAGGACUGGUAUGCAUGGCCACGCAUUGUUAAACAUUCCACACUCACAAUGAGGUUGGUGUGACAGCUGGGGACCAGGCGGAGAUCCGUACUGUGGUGGCACUCAUGCACCUGUUGUUGGUAGUGAACUUCUGGCUGCCAUUCAGUCAGCAGCUGUUAACUACUAAGGUGCCAGGACAAAAUGAAAUGCAACCAAGAAGUCAUGCCCCAUCACAAAGUGCAAUUUGAGGAAAACAAGAAGGCAGAUGUUUUGCCAUUGAGCCAGAAUUAAGAAUGUUGAACCUGAUGCCUAGACUCAGCAUUACUAAGCAAAUUUUGUGACAUAUAUGCUCCAGAUGUGGAUCUGUGGUCAUUCCUCACCUCUGUCUCGUAGCAGUUGUGUCAAUUUGAUCUCAUCCUUCACCAUCCUAAAUCUCAGUUUACUUGCCUCUAAAAUGGAAAUGUACAACUUUGCAUACCUAUCACACACUAUCACCCCAGUGCCACAGGAGAAAUAAGCUAUUUUUGCUCAACUUUUUAUCUGCUUGACCCUCGACCCUGGCCAUUAUGUCUUGGUAAACUGCUUGGCAUUUUUCAACCCAUCUCAGAGUUUUCCCUUUGGAAACAUUUUUAGGCCCUAUUUGGCAGAAGUUGUUGCUCCUGUGUAUAUAAUACCAUAACCACUGUAACAGAAUGGGGAGGUAGAAUUGGAUAUUAACACAUCUUUGGAGAGCUUGUUGUGUGCUAGGUAUUGUGCAAAUGAUAUUCACACAUUUUCUCAAUUAAUACCAAAACUUUAAGUAGGUGAUGAUAUCUCCUAUUAUCCAAAUGAGAAAAUAGCCUCUGGUGGUUAAAGUGAUAGAGCUAGUGAUCAGGAGAGUUCACAUUACUCUUUAUUUCAGACGCCAGAGACUAUUCUCUUUACACUAAAUAGCAUUCAGUGUGUUGCUUCAUUCUUUUUUUACUCCAAAUUAAAUAUCCUUCUUGAUUUUUUUUAAGAUUUCAUAUAUAUGGCAUUCCUUUUUAAAUAGCUCAACUGAGAUAUAAUUUAUGUAACAUACAAUUCUCUAAAGUAUGCAUUUAAAGGUUUUUAUUACAUAUACAGAUAUGUGAAAAAUAACUACAGUCAUUUAAAGAACAUUUUCAUCAAGUCAAAAAGAACUUUUUAGCUAUCACCUUUUAGUUAUCAAUCUUCUCCCAGACUGAUAUGGUUUGGCUGUAUCGCCACCCAAAAUCUCAUCUUGAAUUGUAAUAAUUCCCAUGUGUCAAGGGCAGGACCAGGUGGAGAUAAUUGAAUCAUGGGGGUGGUUUCCAGUUUCCCCAUACUAUUCUCAUGAUAGUGAGUGAGUUCUCAUGAAAUCUGAUAGUUUAAUAGGGACUUUCCCUCCACUUCACUCUCAUUCUUCUCCUUGCUGCCACCUUGUGAAGGACGUGUUUGCUUCCCCUUCUCCCGUGGCUGUGUUUCCUGAGGCCUUCCCAGCCAUGCUGAACUGUGAGUCAAUUAAACUUCUUUCCUUUAUAAAUCACCCAGCCUUCGGUAUGUCUUUAUUAGCAGGAUGAAAACGGACUACUACACAGAUCUGAGUAACCACUAAUCAAUUUUUUAUGUUUGUAGAUUUCCCUCUUCUGGAAAUUCAUAUGAAUGAAAUUAUAUAAUAGAUUAUAUCAUAUGUGGACUUUUCUGACUGGCUUCUUUUACUUAGCAUAAUGUUUUCAGGGUUCAUCCAAGUUGCAGCACGUGUAAGUACUCCAUUCCUUUCAAUGCCUGAAUACGACUUCAUUUUACUGAUGUACCUCAUUUUGUUUACACAUUCAUCAGUUGAUGGGCAUCUGGCCUCUUUCUAGCUUUUGGUUAUUAUGAAUAAUGCUCCUAUAAACAUUAAUAUGCAAGUUUUUGUGUAUACAUAUGUUUUCAUUUCUUUUUGGUAUAUACCUAGGAAUUAAACUGUUGGGUCAUAAGGUAACUUUGUUUAGUCAUUUGAAGAACUCCCAGACUAUUUUCUAGUGUAUGCACCAUUUUACAUUCCCCCCAGCAGUUCUGAUUUCUCCACAUUGUUGCCAACACUUGUUAUUAUCUGACUUUUUAAUCCUAGCCAUCCUAAUGGGUUUGAAAAGUUACCUCAUUGUGGUUUUAAUUUUCAUUUCCCUGAUGACUAAUGAUGUUGAAGUUCUUUUCUUGUGCUUAUUGACCAUUCAUACAUCUACUUGGAGAAAUGUUUAUUCAUAUUCUUUAUCCAGUUUUAAGUUGGAUUAUUUGUCCUUUCAUUUUUCUUGAUAAUUAUUUUAAAUCAGAAAAUUUUUUAAUUUUUAUUGUUAAAGUAUUCAUCUCUUUGGCUCUACACUUUCCUCUUUCCCUAUAUUGAUAAAAGAAACUCAUGAAGUUCAGUGCUGGCACAUUACUGACAAGUGGAUUCUCAUAAAGUUUCUUUGUAUAAUUUUAUAUAUUUUUUACAAUUUUAUUAAACUGAACUAGACAAAUUUUCAUGGUUGCUGGGAGGAUCCUGUAGGAUAAUUUAGGUCAAUGAGGUUUGGGGCAACUAAAGUGCUAUGCAAACACCUAGGGCCACAUGUUAUCUUCUAAGUUCACCGGAAUAAAGAGGAUUUCCAAGGGUCUGAGGUGAUGCAUGAAGAGGGCUUUCAUUUUUUAAUUUUAAUUUUGUCGCUUUGCUAGAAGUUUUAUUAUGAAAUAGUGUUGAAUAAUAUCAGUCUGUUUCUGCAUCUAUGAAGAUGGUUCUAUUUAUUUCUCCUUUAAUCUGUUAAUGUGGUGAAUUCAACUGAUUGCUUUUCUUUUUUUAUUAUUAUUAUAAUAAGUUUUAGGGUACAUGUGCACAAUGUGCAGGUUAGUUACAUAUGUAUACAUGUGCCAUGCUGGUGUGCUGCACCUAUUAACUCAUCAUUUAGCAUUAGGUAUAUCUCCUUAUGCUAUCCCUCUCUCCUCCCCCCACUCCACAACAGUCCCCAGAGUGUGAUGUUCCCCUUCCUGUGUCCAUGUGUUCUCAUUGUUCAAUUCCCACCUAUGAGUGAGAACAU